RNAcentral lists this ribosomal RNA (742 nucleotides) under Frigoribacterium sp. RNAcentral describes it as "bacterial SSU rRNA". It matches the Rfam family "Bacterial small subunit ribosomal RNA", at positions 77 to 832 of the family's 1533-position model. Lineage: Bacteria; Bacillati; Actinomycetota; Actinomycetes; Micrococcales; Microbacteriaceae. The record is from RNAcentral.
AGCUUGCUGGGGGGAUUAGUGGCGAACGGGUGAGUAACACGUGAGUAACCUGCCCUUGACUCUGGGAUAAGCGCUGGAAACGGCGUCUAAUACCGGAUACGAGCUUCAGCCGCAUGGCUAGGAGUUGGAAAGAAUUUCGGUCAAGGAUGGACUCGCGGCCUAUCAGCUAGUUGGUGAGGUAAUGGCUCACCAAGGCGACGACGGGUAGCCGGCCUGAGAGGGUGACCGGCCACACUGGGACUGAGACACGGCCCAGACUCCUACGGGAGGCAGCAGUGGGGAAUAUUGCACAAUGGGCGAAAGCCUGAUGCAGCAACGCCGCGUGAGGGAUGACGGCCUUCGGGUUGUAAACCUCUUUUAGUAGGGAAGAAGCGAAAGUGACGGUACCUGCAGAAAAAGCACCGGCUAACUACGUGCCAGCAGCCGCGGUAAUACGUAGGGUGCAAGCGUUGUCCGGAAUUAUUGGGCGUAAAGAGCUCGUAGGCGGUUUGUCGCGUCUGCUGUGAAAUCUGGGGGCUCAACCCCCAGCCUGCAGUGGGUACGGGCAGACUAGAGUGCGGUAGGGGAGAUUGGAAUUACCUGGUGUAGCGGUGGAAUGCGCAGAUAUCAGGAGGAACACCGAUGGCGAAGGCAGAUCUCUGGGCCGUAACUGACGCUGAGGAGCGAAAGCGUGGGGAGCGAACAGGAUUAGAUACCCUGGUAGUCCACGCCGUAAACGUUGGGAACUAGAUGUGGGGACCAU